This 1094-nucleotide long non-coding RNA is filed under the name Anser brachyrhynchus (Pink-footed goose). RNAcentral's name for it is "lncRNA (ENSABRG00000009202.1)". The record is from RNAcentral. Lineage: Eukaryota; Metazoa; Chordata; Aves; Anseriformes; Anatidae.
AGAGACAGGGAAGACAACUAUUCACACAGCCAGGCAGCUGUCUCAUCUACAAAGGUGCCAGCACUGAAUCUGGGUGGGAUAUAAACGCUGCUCCUUGCUGCCUCUCAAAUGAGACCAGUUCAAAAAGUGGAGGUUGCUCAUGGAUGGUCUCAGGAGGAGCAAGAUAUUCCACCCCCUAUGGAGGACUUCACCCAAACUAGAGCAGAGCAAUUAAAUCGAGCUAAGUGGUCACAGCCUGCUAAAGAAAUAACAUGAAACACACAGAGAACUGCAAACAACCAAGUAAAAUGACUCACAUUCACACUAUGUUCAUAUAUUCCCACUAAAGAAAUCUUAGUCCACAGCUUAAGACUCCAUGGUGUCCAAUAUACAUUAACUGUGAGUCUCUCACUCAUCCUUGACAAACCUAUGCAUAAGAAACCUCUGCAGCAGAGCUUAGUAUACAACAGUAAAAAGUAUUAGACUUCUUUUUUGUGAACACUGCUGGUGUGGGAGCAGUCUGUUAAAAGCAAUAAGGAAGCAUUUACAGCCUCUGGACCAGGUGCUGGAGCUAAAAAUGAGAAGAAAAAUGGCUGAGUGAAGACUGGUAAUUUGGACUGGGAGCUUAGCAUUAGUUUCUUAGAGCUAAAGUCUGGAUGGGAAACCAGCAGUGGAAGCAAUAAGUGUUGGGAGUAGGAGAUGGUAACUGGAACUGGCUGUGGUUGGAGGCUCAUGCUGGAACAAGGCUCUUGGGCAGGGAGACAGAGGAGAGCUAGAAGAGUCAGGCAGCUCCGUGCAUGUCAGCGUUUACUCCUGUCAAGCCUGCAGCGAAGCCAGUGAGUCUUGAGGCCUACCAUUCCUCAGCUGCCAGCAAUGUUCAUGAAACCUCUUGCAUUUUUGCUGCUGUUAAUGGUAAGUACAUCAGACUGACUCGCUGGGUCAGACCAUCUAACCCAAUAAUAUCCUGUCUCCUCCCACAGCCAGCAGUAAAUGCCAAGGGAAGAGCACAAGAACAGACCCACAAAGUGAAGCUGGACUUGGCAAGUCAUGAGCUCCAGCAGAAUGGAGAUACACGGCACUGCCUUCAGGACACGGAUAAAAUGGCAAGGAGCUGA